Miniopterus natalensis is the source of this 426-nucleotide non-coding RNA. Lineage: Eukaryota; Metazoa; Chordata; Mammalia; Chiroptera; Miniopteridae. The record is from RefSeq and is a predicted model, not a curated record.
GUAUGUUAAAAAUUGAUGCUUUUGUUAUUGUAGUCACCUGUUCUGAGUUUCAUUCAUUUAUUUAAAAAGUGUUAAAUGUUAUGUGUUAGGUACUAUUCUAGGUACUGGGGAUACAGUGCUAAAAAAAGGUGAAACCUGCUCUCAUGAAGCUUAUAUUAAGAGGGGAGACAGAUAGUCAAGUAAAAAAAAUGUAUGUAAUGUAAUAUCAGGAAAUAAUAAAUGCUAUUAAAGUUCAGGAGUUAAAAGGAUAGUGAUGGGAUGUUAUGGUAAUUCUCUCUGAUAAGGUGGCAUUUGAGUAGAGCCAUGAAUAAUACGAAGGAGCAAGUUAUAUGAAUAUCUAAGGAGAGAACAUUCUAGAAAGAAAGAGUAGCAAAUACAGACACCCCAAGGCUGGAUUAUGUUUGGUAUGUUUGAAGGUCAGCCAGG